GACGAACGCUGGCGGCGUGCUUAACACAUGCAAGUCGAACGGUGAUGCUCCAGCUUGCUGGAGUGGAUCAGUGGCGAACGGGUGAGUAACACGUGAGCAACCUGCCCCAGACUCUGGAAUAAGCGCUGGAAACGGCGUCUAAUACUGGAUACGAGACUGGCCCGCAUGGGCAUGGUUUGGAAAGUUUUUCGGUUUGGGAUGGGCUCGCGGCCUAUCAGCUUGUUGGGGAGGUAAUGGCUCACCAAGGCCACGACGGGUAGCCGGCCUGAGAGGCCGACCGGCCACACUGGGACUGAGACACGGCACAGACUCCUACGGGAGGCAGCAGUGGGGAAUAUUGCACAAUGGGCGAAAGCCUGAUGCAGCGACGCCGCGUGAGGGAUAACGGCCUUCGGGUUGUAAACCUCUUUCAGCAGGGAAGAAGCGAAAGUGACGGUACCUGCAGAAGAAGCACCGGCUAACUACGUG
Molecule: ribosomal RNA, 468 nt
Filed under: uncultured bacterium
Lineage: Bacteria
Description: partial 16S ribosomal RNA
Rfam family: Bacterial small subunit ribosomal RNA
Source: RNAcentral